GCCAGGGUGGUCUAGUAGUUUGAGCGCUAGACUAGGACUCUGGAGACCAGGGUUCGAAUCCCAGCUCGGCCA
Molecule: non-coding RNA, 72 nt
Organism: Phrynosoma platyrhinos (Desert horned lizard)
Lineage: Eukaryota; Metazoa; Chordata; Lepidosauria; Squamata; Phrynosomatidae
Source: the annotation of a GenBank genome assembly